GACGAACGCUGGCGGCGUGCUUAACACAUGCAAGUCGAACGGUGAAGCCCUUCGUGGUGGAUCAGUGCCGAACGGGUGAGUAACACGUACGCAACCUGCCCCUGGCUCUGGCAUAACCACUGCUACCGGUAGCUAAUACCAGUUACGACCCGCCUCGGCAUCUGCAGUGGGUGGGAAGUAUGUCGGCUGGGGAUGGGCUCGCGGCCUAUCAGCUUGUUGGUGGGGUGAAGGCUCACCAAGGCCACGACGGGUAGCCGGCCUGAGAGGGCGACCGGCCACACUGGGACUGAGACACGGCCCAGACUCCUACGGGAGGCAGCAGUGGGGAAUAUUGCACAAUGGGCGAAAGCCUGAUGCAGCAACGCCGCGUGAGGGAUGACGGCCUUCGGGUUGUAAACCGCUUUCAGCUCCGAAGAAGCGAGAGUGACGGUAGGGGCAGAAGAAGCACCGGCUAACUACGUG
Molecule: ribosomal RNA, 462 nt
Filed under: uncultured bacterium
Lineage: Bacteria
Description: partial 16S ribosomal RNA
Rfam family: Bacterial small subunit ribosomal RNA
Source: RNAcentral